AGCGAACGCUGGCGGCAGGCCUAACACAUGCAAGUCGAACGAACCUUUCGGGGUUAGUGGCGGACGGGUGAGUAACACGUGGGAACGUGCCUUUAGGUUCGGAAUAACUCAGGGAAACUUGUGCUAAUACCGAAUGUGCCCUUCGGGGGAAAGAUUUAUCGCCUUUAGAGCGGCCCGCGUCUGAUUAGCUAGUUGGUUGAGGUAAUGGCUCACCAAGGCGACGAUCAGUAGCUGGUCUGAGAGGAUGAUCAGCCACAUUGGGACUGAGACACGGCCCAAACUCCUACGGGAGGCAGCAGUGGGGAAUCUUGCGCAGUGGGCGAAAGCCUGACGCAGCCAUGCCGCGUGAAUGAUGAAGGUCUUAGGAUUGUAAAAUUCUUUAACCGGGGACGAUAAUGACGGUACACGGAGAAGAAGCCCCGGCUAACUUCGUG
RNAcentral lists this ribosomal RNA (434 nucleotides) under uncultured bacterium. RNAcentral describes it as "partial 16S ribosomal RNA". It matches the Rfam family "Bacterial small subunit ribosomal RNA", at positions 29 to 507 of the family's 1533-position model. The record is from RNAcentral.